This 505-nucleotide long non-coding RNA is filed under the name Brassica napus (rape). RNAcentral describes it as "long non-coding RNA (BNAP_LNC015907)". The record is from RNAcentral. Lineage: Eukaryota; Viridiplantae; Streptophyta; Magnoliopsida; Brassicales; Brassicaceae.
UAAAUUGAUAAUAGUUUAAAUUUGUAUGCAUUUUGUUUGUAACAUUUCCUUACUUUGAUUUAACAAAGUAUCACAAUGGCCAAUCUUAUGUAAAUGUGAUUUGUUGAUUGAGGUUUCCACGUAUUUUUGAAUCAAACUGAUUUACCAAUCAUUUUUUUAGUAGGGGAUGAAAGCUUAACGGAACAAAACAGAAGAACGCUGAAAUAGAGCACAAACAUCUCAGAUAAAAUGGAUCUAAACCUAAUGGGAGAAACCCAAGAGACAAAAAUCCAACUCAUCAUUAUGACGUAAAUCCCAAACGUGUGAUAUCUCGUUCACGUGACACCAAACCGACUAACUGGAGACUAUGCAAGAGCAAUUUAUGACAGAGUCGCUCUCAAAGGUUGUUGCGCAUACGAAGGAGCAAAUGAACCGGUUUCUACACCUAUAUAAUAACCAUUGUACACCAUCUUCAAUAUCAACCUAAUUACAAAUAUAACGAUUAAACAAACAUAUUCGUCCCCAU